AACUCGAAAUAAAGAUCGGCCGAGAUAUCGGUCCAGUCACCCGAUACUUGUGGCAAAAUGCUGGUAGGAGUCCGAAAACCGGUCUUGGCUGCAGCGGAGGUGGACGCGGAGGAGGAGGCGGAGGAGGAGGAGGAGGCGGUACCUGAGCCAAACGAUGAUGGAUCUGAUCUGGAUACCGUGGAUCGGUCUUUUCUGGAGGCGGACAAGAUUUUCUGGCUGAGUUUUUUGAUGAAUU
RNAcentral lists this long non-coding RNA (235 nucleotides) under Populus trichocarpa (black cottonwood). RNAcentral describes it as "long non-coding RNA (PTRI_LNC001665)". The record is from RNAcentral. Lineage: Eukaryota; Viridiplantae; Streptophyta; Magnoliopsida; Malpighiales; Salicaceae.